GGAGCACAGGUGCUGCAUGGCUGUCGUCAGCUCGUGUCGUGAGAUGUUGGGUUAAGUCCCGCAACGAGCGCAACCCUCGCCCUUAGUUGCCAUCAUUCAGUUGGGCACUCUAAGGGGACUGCCGGUGAUAAGCCGCGAGGAAGGUGGGGAUGACGUCAAGUCCUCAUGGCCCUUACGGGCUGGGCUACACACGUGCUACAAUGGCGGUGACAGUGGGAUGCGAAGGGGUAACCCUUAGCAAAUCUCAAAAAGCCGUCUCAGUUCGGAUUGGGGUCUGCAACUCGACCCCAUGAAGUCGGAAUCGCUAGUAAUCGCAGAUCAGCACGCUGCGGUGAAUACGUUCCCGGGCCUUGUACACACCGCCCGUCACACC
This 373-nucleotide ribosomal RNA is filed under the name uncultured bacterium. Its description in RNAcentral is "bacterial SSU rRNA". It matches the Rfam family "Bacterial small subunit ribosomal RNA", at positions 1029 to 1403 of the family's 1533-position model. The record is from RNAcentral.